RNAcentral lists this ribosomal RNA (1488 nucleotides) under Aphanizomenon flos-aquae DEX188. Its description in RNAcentral is "bacterial SSU rRNA". It matches the Rfam family "Bacterial small subunit ribosomal RNA". Lineage: Bacteria; Bacillati; Cyanobacteriota; Cyanophyceae; Nostocales; Aphanizomenonaceae. The record is from RNAcentral.
AAAAUGGAGAGUUUGAUCCUGGCUCAGGAUGAACGCUGGCGGUAUGCUUAACACAUGCAAGUCGAACGGUCUUUUAGGAGACAGUGGCGGACGGGUGAGUAACGCGUAAGAAUCUACCUUCAGGUUGGGGACAACCACUGGAAACGGUGGCUAAUACCGAAUGUGCCGAGAGGUGAAAGGCUUGCUGCCUGAAGAAGAGCUUGCGUCUGAUUAGCUAGUUGGUAGUGUAAGAGACUACCAAGGCGACGAUCAGUAGCUGGUCUGAGAGGAUGAUCAGCCACACUGGGACUGAGACACGGCCCAGACUCCUACGGGAGGCAGCAGUGGGGAAUUUUCCGCAAUGGGCGAAAGCCUGACGGAGCAAUACCGCGUGAGGGAGGAAGGCUCUUGGGUUGUAAACCUCUUUUCUCAGGGAAGAACAGAAUGACGGUACCUGAGGAAUAAGCAUCGGCUAACUCCGUGCCAGCAGCCGCGGUAAUACGGAGGAUGCAAGCGUUAUCCGGAAUGAUUGGGCGUAAAGGGUCCGCAGGUGGCAUUGUAAGUCUGCUGUUAAAGAGUUUGGCUCAACCAAAUAAGAGCAGUGGAAACUACAAAGCUAGAGUGUGGUCGGGGCAGAGGGAAUUCCUGGUGUAGCGGUGAAAUGCGUAGAUAUCAGGAAGAACACCAGUGGCGAAGGCGCUCUGCUAGGCCGAGACUGACACUGAGGGACGAAAGCUAGGGGAGCGAAUGGGAUUAGAUACCCCAGUAGUCCUAGCCGUAAACGAUGGAUACUAGGCGUAGCUCGUAUCGACCCGAGCUGUGCCGGAGCUAACGCGUUAAGUAUCCCGCCUGGGGAGUACGCAGGCAACUGUGAAACUCAAAGGAAUUGACGGGGGCCCGCACAAGCGGUGGAGUAUGUGGUUUAAUUCGAUGCAACGCGAAGAACCUUACCAAGGCUUGACAUGUCACGAAUCCUAUUGAAAGAUGGGAGUGCCUUCGGGAGCGUGAACACAGGUGGUGCAUGGCUGUCGUCAGCUCGUGUCGUGAGAUGUUGGGUUAAGUCCCGCAACGAGCGCAACCCUCGUUUUUAGUUGCCAGCAUUAAGAUGGGCACUCUAGAGAGACUGCCGGUGACAAACCGGAGGAAGGUGGGGAUGACGUCAAGUCAGCAUGCCCCUUACGUCUUGGGCUACACACGUACUACAAUGCUCCGGACAAAGGGCAGCUACACAGCGAUGUGAUGCGAAUCUCAUAAACCGGAGCUCAGUUCAGAUCGAAGGCUGCAACUCGCCUUCGUGAAGGAGGAAUCGCUAGUAAUUGCAGGUCAGCAUACUGCAGUGAAUUCGUUCCCGGGCCUUGUACACACCGCCCGUCACACCAUGGAAGUUGGUCACGCCCGAAGUCGUUACCCCAACCUAUUGGAGGGGGAUGCCUAAGGUAGGACUGAUGACUGGGGUGAAGUCGUAACAAGGUAGCCGUACCGGAAGGUGUGGCUGGAUCACCUCCUUUU